AAAUAUUCAAGGAAUUCCUUUAACCAGUGUUGGGUUUUAUUUGUUUCUUUGUUUUAGCUGAUAUCCUUGUGGAGUCUUGAGUCUUCCCACAUUGGAUCAGACUGCUGUCCCAGGGGUUGAUAUUAAGCAAAGAUGCCAAGUGGAAGUUCAAAUUCUUUGGUACUUUUGAAGCUUGAAAAGAGCUCCUGCAACCAAUAUAUAAUGGGGGGAGAACUAGACGACAAGGUACCCCCCAAUGCAAUAAUUCCUCUUCAAGGAUUAUUCAAGUGGCAUAUCAGAUUUGCUCCAAUCCCUGAUGUGAUACCUUGAUAGUUCAGAGAAGAAGCUUAUAGAGUAACUGAGUUCUGGCAGAGAAAGACUGAGAUGCAAGUAAUGAGACAAAGAGAUGAGCUUGGGUUCACAAAGGAACAUUUGGAGGAAAAAUCUCUGCAAGUGCCAAUGUAUGACUGUGAGAGAUGGACUUCAAAGAAAGAUAUGAGUCACAGAAUCAAUACUUUCAAUUUGUGGUGCUUCACAAACCUUUUCAGCCUCCCCUGGAUAUCAAGGAGAUCAAAUCAGUCAAAACCUAAAGAAAAGAUUUCAGAGUAUUCACCAGAAGGUCAAAUGCCAAUGUACAUUAUGAGAGGGCAGGAAUCAUUGGAAAAGACUCUGAUGUUGGGAAAGAUCAAAAGCAAAAGAAGAGGAGGAGACAGCUAUAUACUGUCAAGAAAGCAAUGAAAGUCUUCGAUUUGACUUUGGAGGGGCUUGGGCUUGAUAUCUCAGACUACUUCCCUUUGGACUGACAAGUGGUGAGUGAAGAACUGACUCCCUUUCCUUGGAUUUCUAAAGGGACUAGCCUCAGGAGAGAUCUACCCUUUUGAGAGAGGCUCCCCGUAUCCCCAGGUCCUUGACUCAAAGCUGAGGCCCCUUCGGCUAAGGUUUAACUAGCCCUGCCUGGGUUGAGCCAGGGUCAGACCAAAUACUUAGUUUGUAACCUAAAUAUUUUGCCCUAUCCUCUCUCUGAUUUUCUUACUUUCACUCUUUCUAGAUUUUAUGAAUAAAUUAUCAAAAUAAAUCUCUUUGGAAUCA
This 1068-nucleotide long non-coding RNA is filed under the name Monodelphis domestica (gray short-tailed opossum). RNAcentral's name for it is "lncRNA (ENSMODG00000051364.1)". Lineage: Eukaryota; Metazoa; Chordata; Mammalia; Didelphimorphia; Didelphidae. The record is from RNAcentral.